This 72-nucleotide transfer RNA is filed under the name candidate division CPR3 bacterium. RNAcentral's name for it is "tRNA-Arg". It matches the Rfam family "tRNA". From Rfam's summary of the family: Transfer RNA (tRNA) molecules are approximately 80 nucleotides in length. Their secondary structure includes four short double-helical elements and three loops (D, anti-codon, and T loops). The record is from RNAcentral. Lineage: Bacteria; candidate division CPR3.
GUCCCUGUAGUUCAAUGGAUAGAAUGUAGCCCUGCGAAGGCUGCGAUCUAGGUUCGACUCCUAGCAGGGACA